Molecule: long non-coding RNA, 311 nt
Organism: Pseudomyrmex gracilis
Lineage: Eukaryota; Metazoa; Arthropoda; Insecta; Hymenoptera; Formicidae
Exons: 2
Source: RefSeq, a predicted model, not a curated record
UUGGUCCACUGCGAUGUCUAUGGGUUCCUGAACAACAUCGCAAUUAGAAGUUAUCAACCUUCGUGGGAUAAAACGCACAAGCAAGAGGCGCAAAAUUGUUGCGAAGGGACACUCACUGUAUAGCUAAGCGCAAUGCCUCCAUAACGGCUAUACAAAAUUCAGAUCGUGCUCUAUAACGCACGUUUCUCGUGUUCAGUGCACGCUGUCCUUCAGUGUUCGCUACGAAUAUUCGUUGGAAAUUCUGAGGAAUCCAAAAUGCAUCUCGCCUGUCACCCUCGCUGUCACGUUGCCGGGGACAAAAAAAAAAAAAA